CCACUGGUAUGACUAGUACGGCGAGUGAGCGGCAACAGCUCAAAUUUGAAAGCUGGCUCCGGCCCGCGUUGUAAUUUGCAGAGGAUGCUUCUGGCGAGGUGCCUUCCGAGUUCCCUGGAACGGGACGCCAUAGAGGGUGAGAGCCCCGUAUGGAUGGACACCAAACCUGUGUGAAGCUCCUUCAACGAGUCGAGUAGUUUGGGAAUGCUGCUCUAAAUGGGAGGUAAAUCUCUUCUAAAGCUAAAUACCGGCCAGAGACCGAUAGCGCACAAGUAGAGUGAUCGAAAGAUGAAAAGCACCUUGAAAAGGGGGUUAAACAGUACGUGAAAUUGUUGAAAGGGAAGCGCUUGUGACCAGACUUGCGCCGGGCAGCUCAUCAGGGGUUCUCCCCUGUGCACUCUGCCCGGCUCAGGCCAGCAUCGGUUCUCGUGGGAGGAUAAGAACGGUAGGAACGUGGCCCCCCUCCGGGGGGGUGUUAUAGCCUGCCGUACGAUACUCCCGUGGGGACCGAGGUUCGCGCUCCGCAAGGAUGCUGGCGUAAUGGUCAUCAGCGACCCGUCUUGACCC
RNAcentral lists this ribosomal RNA (567 nucleotides) under Cytospora salicacearum. RNAcentral's name for it is "eukaryotic LSU rRNA". It matches the Rfam family "Eukaryotic large subunit ribosomal RNA", at positions 66 to 660 of the family's 3401-position model. The record is from RNAcentral. Lineage: Eukaryota; Fungi; Ascomycota; Sordariomycetes; Diaporthales; Cytosporaceae.